GUGGAGCUUUAGAUCUAAAAUAAGUCACGUCUAGUGUACUAUUUCAUCAGUAAAAGCCUAGUGAUUAAAUAUUGAAGUGUCUUUGGUUGGGGCGACCGCGGGGUAAAACACAACCCCCUUGUGGACCGGGGAUAUUAUCCCUAAUACUCAGAGCUUCCACUCCAAGCAACAGAAAUUCUGACCUUAUGAUCCGGUAAGACCGAUCAACGAACCGAGUUACCCCAGGGAUAACAGCGCAAUCCCCUCUCAGAGCCCUUAUCGACGAGGGGGUU
RNAcentral lists this ribosomal RNA (272 nucleotides) under Mora moro. RNAcentral describes it as "partial 16S ribosomal RNA". Lineage: Eukaryota; Metazoa; Chordata; Actinopteri; Gadiformes; Moridae. The record is from RNAcentral.